Molecule: ribosomal RNA, 1209 nt
Filed under: Laemobothrion sp.
Lineage: Eukaryota; Metazoa; Arthropoda; Insecta; Psocodea; Laemobothriidae
Description: 16S ribosomal RNA
Rfam family: Archaeal large subunit ribosomal RNA (bases 544-1209)
Source: RNAcentral
GCAGGAAAGAUUAAACAAUUAACCAAUAAUCAACAAUAAAUGAAGUUUCAUUAUUGAGAUAUUGAGAUAGAAAUCAGUAAAGAAAAGACUGAGAAGGAAAACUUAAAGCAUAGAAAAGUAUCCAAUAAGGAGUACCUUUUGCAUCAUGGUCUAUGGAAUAAAAUGACAGAGAGUCGAUUUCCCGAAUUUAGGUGAUCUACUUCUUUAGGGAGGUUGAUGUUGCACAAUCAUCUCAUAUAAAAAAGUAGGAGUGAAAUGCUAUAACGAACCUAAAGAUAUCUGGUUUCUUGGGAAAUGAAUUUAAUUCAGCAGGUUGUCAAAAGUCACUCCUUCAUUAAAAGGGAGUUACUGUUGGCCUAGUAAUCCAAUGAAAGAUAAGUUUCAUUUGGCCUUUCAAAUGAGAAAUAUAACUCUUAUGACUCGAAUAUAAAGUAGAAGUAACAUUUUAAUACAAUCAUGUGGAGAAAUAGAUUUAUAUUUUCAUUGAAAACAGCACCAAGAAGGAAUUUCAACCUUAGUCAGAUUCACUAUAAUCAUAGAAUGAGUACUACUUUCUUUUAAUUUUCCUAAAGGAACUCGGCAAAAGAGUUUCCCGCCGGUUUACCAAAAACUUGUCCUUGAGGAAAAAUUUCAAGGUAAGAUCUGCUCACUGAAUAUUUAUUUUGAAGAGCCGCAGUAGCUUGACUGUGCAAAGGUAGCAUAAUAAAUAGCACCCUAAUUAGGUGAUAGAAUGAAUGAUCAGACGAGGAAAAGACUGUCUCUAGGAAAAAAAGAAAAUUAUCUUUUAAGUUAAAAGACUUAAAUAAUGAUAGAGGACGAGAAGACCCUAUAGAGCUUAGCUUGAAGGAAUUAUCAAUAGAUAACUACCUCUUAGCUUAGUUGGGGGUACUAGACAAUAAGAGUAAUUUGUCUUCAAUAUCACUCUAAUAAGAGAAAUAAAUAACCUCCAUUGGGGAAUAAAGACAAGCUACCUUAGGGAUAACAGCGUAAUUUCUAGUUUUAGUUCUUAUAGAACUGGGAGAUUGCGACCUCGAUGUUGAAUUAAGACUUCACUCAGAAGCAAAAAUUUGAGGUAGUUAGUCUGUUCGACUAUUAAAGUCUUACAUGAUUUGAGUUCAGACCGACGCGAGUCAGGUCAGUUUCUAUCCUUAUCUUUAAGUCUAAUUUUUGUACGAAAGGAUCAAAUUAGAGAUGGGAACCAUUGACUUA